Molecule: transfer RNA, 74 nt
Filed under: Nanobdellota archaeon
Lineage: Archaea; Nanobdellati; Nanobdellota
Description: tRNA-Lys
Rfam family: tRNA
About the family: Transfer RNA (tRNA) molecules are approximately 80 nucleotides in length. Their secondary structure includes four short double-helical elements and three loops (D, anti-codon, and T loops). Further hydrogen bonds mediate the characteristic L-shaped molecular structure. tRNAs have two regions of fundamental functional importance: the anti-codon, which is responsible for specific mRNA codon recognition, and the 3' end, to which the tRNAs corresponding amino acid is attached (by aminoacyl-tRNA synthetases). tRNAs cope with the degeneracy of the genetic code in two manners: having more than one tRNA (with a specific anti-codon) for a particular amino acid; and 'wobble' base-pairing, i.e. permitting non-standard base-pairing at the 3rd anti-codon position.
Source: RNAcentral
GGACCGGUGGCGCAGUUUGGUAGCGCACCUGACUUUUAAUCAGGGGGUCACGGGUUCGAAUCCCGUCCGGUCCA